AAUAAAAUCUCAACAGAUGGACUGAACUUCAGAUUCUUCUCCCUGUUGUGGUCCUUCUCUUACUGGAUAUUGGGUGGUGUCAUGGUUAGAGACUUUGGAUGCAGGAGCUCUGAACAGUAACAAUAUUCAUCCAGUUUUCAUAAGGUAUUUCCCACCAUAGUCAUUUACAGUACUUAGCCUUUGAUUAAUUACAUGACUAAAAUAGUUUGGUUUUCAGUAUGUAACAUGUUUCAUGCUUUCUUGGUCUCCAUUCAUUCACUUUAGUUCUUUGUUGGCUACCCUCUAGAUCCACUUAUUCAAGUUUGGGAACCACUGAUCUAGGCUAUCUGGUCAUUUUAGCCGGGUAGGAUUGUGCUUUUGAUCAGCAAUUGCUUUCCAUUUUUUCUUUAUAUUUAAUCAUCUCUACAAUUCUUUUCAGAUUAUGUGCAGGUAUUUUUUUUUGCUGAUCUGUACAAUGUACAAGACUGGGACUCAUGGAAUUCACUGAAAGUUUCAGCCCAAUACAGACUUCAAACUAGAGAUUCCUAAACAGUGUUUAGCCAUAUUUCAUGAUAUUUCUCCACUGCUUCCUUGUUUCUUCUGAGCUACCAGUGCCAAUACCACUCAUUGAUAACCAACAGCCAUUCAUCCCAGUGCCCUUCACUGCAGCCUAAAUAUUUAUCCACCAGUUAUCUGGAGAACCCACUAUUCUCACCUAAGAAAGCAUGAGAGAAAAGCACAAGAAUGAAAUUUCAGCAUUUUAUUGACAGGUGACAUUGUUCAAAUGGUUGCAGGCUCCUUGAAUCUCAGGAAGUUGUGUUAGAUGUUCUCAAAGUUGUUCCAUUUCUUUUAUUAAGCAAAGCUUCUGUUAGGCUGAUGGCAUUUGAAAUCAAGGGCACAGAACACCAUGGAGAUGGAAGAGGUUAAUGAUGUCUCCUUCGCCGUCUUCUCCGCCUCCUUCCAGAUCCACUUGCUUGGCUCUUCCGUCGCCGCCUACGGCGUUGACGAGUCAGGCUCCAGCUUCUGCUGCGUUUGAAACUUGCCAUUUGAUGUUGCUUUUCUUUUUCAAGCUUGUAGCAGUGGGAGCAUCAUCUGCCUUGGGGAGCCUGAGACUUCAAGUGGUGGUCCUGCCCUAUUUAUAG
Molecule: long non-coding RNA, 1121 nt
Filed under: Pogona vitticeps (central bearded dragon)
Lineage: Eukaryota; Metazoa; Chordata; Lepidosauria; Squamata; Agamidae
Description: lncRNA (ENSPVIG00000018842.1)
Source: RNAcentral